GACGAACGCUGGCGGCGUGCUUAACACAUGCAAGUCGAACGGAAAGGCCCUGCUUUUGUGGGGUGCUCGAGUGGCGAACGGGUGAGUAACACGUGAGUAACCUGCCCUAGACUUUGGGAUAACUUCAGGAAACUGGGGCUAAUACCGGAUAGGAGCUCCUGCUGCAUGGUGGGGGUUGGAAAGUUUCGGCGGUUGGGGAUGGACUCGCGGCUUAUCAGCUUGUUGGUGGGGUAGUGGCUUACCAAGGCUUUGACGGGUAGCCGGCCUGAGAGGGUGACCGGCCACAUUGGGACUGAGAUACGGCCCAGACUCCUACGGGAGGCAGCAGUGGGGAAUAUUGCACAAUGGGCGGAAGCCUGAUGCAGCAACGCCGCGUGCGGGAUGACGGCCUUCGGGUUGUAAACCGCUUUCGCCUGUGACGAAGCGUGAGUGACGGUAAUGGGUAAAGAAGCACCGGCUGACUACGUG
This 468-nucleotide ribosomal RNA is filed under the name uncultured bacterium. RNAcentral describes it as "partial 16S ribosomal RNA". It matches the Rfam family "Bacterial small subunit ribosomal RNA", at positions 28 to 507 of the family's 1533-position model. The record is from RNAcentral.